CAACCCUAGGUCAGGCGAGAGC
This 22-nucleotide ribosomal RNA is filed under the name Cycas thouarsii. Its description in RNAcentral is "partial 26S rRNA". Lineage: Eukaryota; Viridiplantae; Streptophyta; Cycadopsida; Cycadales; Cycadaceae. The record is from RNAcentral.